RNAcentral lists this unclassified non-coding RNA (263 nucleotides) under plant metagenome. Its description in RNAcentral is "partial contains small subunit ribosomal RNA, internal transcribed spacer 1, and 5.8S ribosomal RNA". The stretch from base 1 to 54 matches the Rfam family "Eukaryotic small subunit ribosomal RNA", at positions 1778 to 1831 of the family's 1831-position model. The record is from RNAcentral.
GCAAGUAAAAGUCGUAACAAGGUUUCCGUAGGUGAACCUGCGGAAGGAUCAUUAUUGAAUGAAACACUUCUGGCUUUAUGCUGUUGUGCUGGCCCUUUGGGCAAUGUGCACACGGCUCUGGUCACUUGUUUCUUCUGUUCCACCUGUGCACUGCCUGUAGACACGCUGUGUCUAUGAUAUUUGUUAACACACAACAAUGUUAGUUGGCAUGUUAUAUAUAAUAAUAAAAUAUACAACUUUCAACAACGGAUCUCUUGGCUCUC